GAUGAACGCUGGCGGCGUGCCUAAUACAUGCAAGUCGAACGAAGAGAGAAGCUUGCUUCUCUUUUAGUGGCGAACGGGUGAGUAAUACAUAAGCAACCUACCCAUACGACCGGGAUAACAGUUGGAAACGACUGCUAAUACCGGAUAGGUGACCGGGGGACAUCCCCUGAUCAUUAAAGCUGGGACACAGCACGAAUGGAUGGGCUUAUGGCGCAUUAGUUAGUUGGCGGGGUAACGGCCCACCAAGACGAUGAUGCGUAGCCGACCUGAGAGGGUGACCGGCCACACUGGGACUGAGACACGGCCCAGACUCCUACGGGUGGCUG
RNAcentral lists this ribosomal RNA (326 nucleotides) under uncultured Bacillota bacterium. RNAcentral describes it as "bacterial SSU rRNA". It matches the Rfam family "Bacterial small subunit ribosomal RNA", at positions 28 to 351 of the family's 1533-position model. Lineage: Bacteria; Bacillati; Bacillota. The record is from RNAcentral.